Molecule: ribosomal RNA, 468 nt
Filed under: uncultured bacterium
Lineage: Bacteria
Description: partial 16S ribosomal RNA
Rfam family: Bacterial small subunit ribosomal RNA
Source: RNAcentral
GACGAACGCUGGCGGCGUGCUUAACACAUGCAAGUCGAACGGAAAGGCCCUGCUUUUGUGGGGUGCUCGAGUGGCGAACGGGUGAGUAACACGUGAGUAACCUGCCCUUGACUUUGGGAUAACUUCAGGAAACUGGGGCUAAUACCGGAUAGCAGCUCCUGCUGCAUGGUGGGGGUUGGAAAGUUUCGGCGGUUGGGGAUGGACUCGCGGCUUAUCAGCUUGUUGGUUGGGUAGUGGCUUACCAAGGCUUUGACGGGUAGCCGGCCUGAGAGGGUGACCGGCCACAAUGGGACUGAGAUACGGCCCAGACUCCUACGGGAGGCAGCAGUGGGGAAUAUUGCACAAUGGGCGGAAGCCUGAUGCAGCAACGCCGCGUGCGGGAUGACGGCCUGCGGGUUGUAAACCGCUUUCGCCUGUGACGAAGCGUGAGUGACGGUAAUGGGUAAAGAAGCACCGGCUAACUACGUG